RNAcentral lists this ribosomal RNA (364 nucleotides) under uncultured soil bacterium. RNAcentral describes it as "bacterial SSU rRNA". It matches the Rfam family "Bacterial small subunit ribosomal RNA", at positions 26 to 379 of the family's 1533-position model. The record is from RNAcentral.
AGAGUGAACGCUGGCGGUAGGCCUAACACAUGCAAGUCGAACGGCAGCACGGUAAGAGCUUGCUCUUAUGGGUGGCGAGUGGCGGACGGGUGAGGAAUACAUCGGAAUCUACCUUUUGGUGGGGGAUAACGUAGGGAAACUUACGCUAAUACCGCAUACGCCCUUCGGGGGAAAGCCGGGGACCAGCAAUGGCCUGGCGCUGAUAGAUGAGCCGAUGUCGGAUUAGCUAGUUGGUGAGGUAAUGGCUCACCAAGGCGACGAUCCGUAGCUGGUCUGAGAGGAUGAUCAGCCACACUGGAACUGAGACACGGUCCAGACUCCUACGGGAGGCAGCAGGUGGGGGAAUAGUUGGACAAGUGGGGCG